Molecule: ribosomal RNA, 253 nt
Filed under: uncultured bacterium
Lineage: Bacteria
Description: partial 16S ribosomal RNA
Rfam family: Bacterial small subunit ribosomal RNA
Source: RNAcentral
UACGUAGGGUGCAAGCGUUAAUCGGAAUUACUGGGCGUAAAGCGUGCGCAGGCGGUUAUGUAAGACAGAUGUGAAAUUCCCGGGCUCAACCUGGGAACUGCAUUUGUGACUGCAUGGCUAGAGUUUGGCAGAGGGGGGUAGAAUUCCACGUGUAGCAGUGAAAUGCGUAGAUAUGUGGAGGAAUACCGAUGGCGAAGGCAGCCCCCUGGGUCAAGACUGACGCUCAUGCACGAAAGCGUGGGGAGCAAACAGG